RNAcentral lists this unclassified non-coding RNA (212 nucleotides) under Hevea brasiliensis (rubber tree). The record is from RNAcentral. Lineage: Eukaryota; Viridiplantae; Streptophyta; Magnoliopsida; Malpighiales; Euphorbiaceae.
GGAUCAUCCAAUUUGCGCGGCUGUUCAAAAAUCAUGUUGGCUUUGAUUGCGACCCAUAUCUGGAUCUUCAUGAGAUAGGUAUGAAACUCUACUGUGAAACUAUGGAGGACACUGUUACAGGUGAAGAAGCACAAGAGCUUUUUGGAAUUGCUGCAGCUAAGUUCCAAGAGAUGGCAGCUUUGUCUUUAUUUAAUUGGGGAAAUGUUCAUAUG